UUUCUGUGCUUGUGGGCGUGAGUUUGAGUGUGUGUGUGUGUGCCGAUAUAUACUUACUUUUUACAAACUCUAUUAAGGAGAAAUUGGCAAGAUGCAUUCAUAUUUUAAUAAUAAUGUCUCUAAUGUAUUAAUGUCUGUAAUGUUACAGUGGGUUUUAAAUCUACUUUUCAAUGUAUAUUUUAUGUGUAUUUAUGUUUUUUAGUUGGAUUUAAGCUCAUGUAGUCUGUUAAUUUAUAUUUGAUUGGGUUGUCUGUCGUGCAAAUGAAAAAUGCCUAAGAGAGUUUGUUCAUUGGGCUUUGCCCUACUGCUCCUACCUUCUAUUCCCCUUAUAGUUAAACAAUAAUUUUAAGCCAACAAGUACAAUUACUCUCAUAUAUAUAAAUAUAUAUGUAUGUAUGCACAAUCAUAGAUAUCAUCCAUAUGCAGCUGUGAUUUUUAUCUGGUUAUGUUUGACACUGAGUUCAGCUUCCAUAUACGGAGAGCAUUUACUAGAAAUGGUUUCCUAGAACCGGGGCUGGGUAACCUGUGUCAUUUCUCAUGGUAUAUCUCAUUGUGCCUGUACCUGACUAGUCAUUAUUUCUUCCUGGCAAUUAGCAAAAGUCUGACUCCAUUGAGUUAACUCAAGAUGUUUUAGUCAUCCCCCCCCCCCCCCCCAUGCUGGCCACAGCACUUAGAGAGCAAGUCAUGGUAUAGUACUGGGAGUGGGAAGCAAUUACUCUAAGGCAUAAGAUGAAAAGACUGCUUAUAUUCUGCAUUAAAUAUGACUGUGUCUUCAAAGAUGCCUGAAAACAAGAGCACUGGUAUGUGCAGCUUGACUGCUAAAUCAGAUAGUGAUUUCUGCCUAUGCUUUUAAAAUGGAGAUGUGAAUUACCAUGGCAGAGAAAUGAAAAUCUAAGGGCUAUAGUGGGAGAAUGUUAAAUUUAGGAAGAAAAUCUUAAGUCUAAUAAAAAGCAUUGGAUACUUAUGAAUAUUGCAUGUUCAGUAUAAAAAUAAACAUAUUUUGUUUCACUAAGAACUUGAUUUCCACACAUAAAAAUGUAAAAUGAGAAAUGUAAUCCAGAGCCAAAAGAGAGCCCUGUUAUUGUAUUUCUUUUGUGUUUUUUUUUGUGCAUAUCUGUAUGUACAGUUGGCUGUCUGUGUCCUGUGUAUCCAUAUCUGUGGAUUCAGUCAACUGCAGAUCAGAAGUAUAGCUAGGCCUGCAGUGGUUGAAUUUCUACUGAAAGCCUUCCUUGAUGUCACUGUUCCCAAAAUUAUACAUUUUGAACAACUAUCAGUAUAGAAUUUAUGUUGUUAGCUCUCUAAGCAAUCUAGUAACGAUAUAGUAGUGAGGGACCUUUUUUUUCUGCCAAGGGCUGUUUGGAUAUUUAUAACAUCAUUCAGGGGCCAUACAAAAUUAUCAACUUAAAAAUUAACCUACAACAGAGUUACUGAAUUUUGAGUCCUGCCUUGACAAGGCCAGAUCAAAUAAUUUUGCUGGCCUAUAUAGCUGACUUAAAGUCACUGGGAGUUUGGGCCAGUAUUGUGGCACAGCAGGUUAAGCCACUAUCCGUGAAUCUGGCAUGCCAUAUGAACAGCGAUUCUUAUCAUAGCUGCUCUACUUCCUAUCCAGCUCCCUGCUAAUGUACUUGUGGGAGACCCGGAUGAAGCUCCUGGCUUCAGCUUGGCCCAACCAUGGCCAUUGCAGCUGUUUGGGGAGUGAACCAGAGGAUGGAAGAUCUUGAUAUUCCUCUCUAUACCCCACCCCCCUUCUGUCUCUGAUUUAUUUAUUUCUUUAUUUAAAGAAUUAUUUAUUUAUUUGAAAGAGUUAAAAGAGAGAAAGAGGGAGAGACAGAGGAGAGAGAUCUUCUAUCCACUGGUUCACUCCCCAAAUGACCACAACAGCCAGGUCUGGGCCAGGCCAAAUCAAGGAGCUAGGACCUUCUUUCAGAUCUCUCUGAUGGUUCAAAGGUCCAGGGACUUGGACCCUCUUCCAGUGCUUUCCCAGGCACUUUAGAAGGGAGCUGCCAGGUCUCUAACCAGUGCCCAUAUGUGAUGCAGGCAUUCCAUAUGGCAGUGUAAACUGUUGUGCCACAGUGCCAGCCCCCUCCCUCUCCCCUCCCUCCCACUCUCUCUCUCUUUCUUUUUCUCUUUCUCUUUCCUUUUCUCUCUCUAAUUUUGCCUUUCACAUAAAUAAAUCUUUAAAAAAAAGCAUAUGGAGGACAUGCAUAGGUUAUAUGCAAAUUCUGUACCAUUUAUGUGAAACAGUCUAGAGCAUCUGUGCAUUUUGGUAUCUUUGGGGGUCCAGGAACUAAUCUCUUAUGGAUACCAAGGGACAGUUGAAUUAGAAAUAUGCUUUACUUUUUGUACUUACUGAUGCUGAAUGUUUGACCUUUAUAGUGGCUUAAGCUUUCAGAAAUUACUGUCACCCUUGGGCUUACCUUCCAGAUCCCUCUCCUUUUAUUCCCUUAUAAAUUGGUGUAGAUGUUUGAUUUUAGUACUGUGUUGUUGGAAAAUAAAUCAAAAACUGUAAAGGCUGUCAGAGUUAGGUGUUCCACUGGGGCUGAUUUCUAUCAUUAAAUGUUUAGUAAGACAAUCCCCUCCCUCCACUCGCCUUCUCCCUCCCACAUCUGUCCUGUGUGUGUGUUUCCUGAGAACUCAGGAAAGGGACUAACUGUCUAACUGCUGAGGAUGAUAUUGGGAACAAGAUGAGUUCUUGUUGCUUACUUAUCUUUGCUGCUCAGCCAGGAGCCUUACAUCGAGGCUGUUUUCUUAUUGCACCAAACAGGUGAGUUAACUUCUAUCUUAGAGCCCUGAGAACUCAGAGAUGGUGAUACUCUAGUAAUAGUGCUAUGACCAAAGGGCUGAGCGGCCGAUUUGGAGCUACAACUCAAACAUUUCUCAAGACAUUGAGGACUGGCAGCAGGGACAGGUGCAGGCUAACUGAUGGAGCCCAAAUAAUUAGAUUGAAUCAGCUUUUCUACAUCCAGCUUCUUUUCAAAUAAUAGUGACAGAUGAUGAAGGCUCUCCUGGCUUCUCUAGUGUCCUUUAGAAAUAGACCAAGCAUUUCUUAUUUGGAGAGACUUAUGAGGGUUAUAGCCCAAAGUUCAGUGAUAUCUACCAAAAAUAUUCUUUGUGAAUGAUCAGCUUUCCUACUAGUGUGUAUUCUUUUGAUAACAAAUAUAUUAUUUUUAGAGUGAACUUGUGUUCUCUUGAAUUUUCUUAUUUAAACAUGAUAAUUGUAUGACUUGUGGAUGUUGCCUUCUGAGGCAGUGUGGUCAGAUUCAAUAUAGAACAUCCUUUUAAUCCCUGAACCUACAAGAUAUAUGAAAAGUGUCUCAAUGGUAAAAGGAAUGAAUAUUUGCAGAAUUAUUACGUGAGCAAAUGUAGUCUUACCUCCUUAUAGCUGUUUUAAGGAAUUGGCCGUGGAAACGGAAAGAGUCUUUUACGUUGUUUUGUGCUUCAUAUAGCAAACCUCAUGUGGACUCUAGAGGACAGAAUGUUUUAAAAGAUGUUGGGGAAAAAUGUUUGAAUGAAAAUUAAUGGAAUUAUCCUUAUUUCCCAAAGAAGAGAAUUUAAUUAUGAUGUGAGUUUUCAGUUUUAGAAAUGAUGCUUACUGGUUGUUUCUUCCCUGGCACAUCAAGAGUAUUUCUUUUAUUUAUUUAUUUAUUUAUUUUUGACAGGCAGGGUUAGAGAGAGACAGAGAAAAAGGUCUUCCUUUUCCAUUGGUUCACCCCUCAAAUGGCCGCUACGGCCGGCACGCUGCGCCGAUCUGAAGCCAGGAGCCAGGAGCCAGGUGCUUCCUCCUGGUCUCCCAUGCAGGUGCAGGGCCCAAGCACUUGGGCCAUCCUCCACUGCCUUCCCAGGCUACAACAGAGAGCUGGACUAGUAGAGGAGCAACUGGGACAGAAUCUGGUGCUCCAACCAGGACUGGAACCCGGGGUGCCGGUUUGCAUAGCAAACUUUGUUUAGCUGAGAAGUAUUUGAAUGCACAAUAGAAUUGCUUUAACAGGAUAUUGUGUAUUCUCAUAUCUUAAAAUUUUUCAAUGAAAUCUAGAAAAGUAGUUGCAGGAAUGAUCAGCGGGCUACAUUGCUUUUUGGGUUCAAUAAGGUUGCAUAAUCCUGAAAAUAUAGCUUCACCUUGUUGUGCAGCUAGACUUCCUCUUGAUUUGAUGGUCACAAGUACUUUUACUAAUCUCUGCUGACCAGAAGGAUGUUCCAGAAUUGUAAGAAAAAUGAACAGUUGUGCUGAAAAUUGAGCAGACAGUCCUCAGAAAUACGUCAGUACAAAGGUGCUUUUGAAAAGAAAGUAGGAUUUCUUAAAUGAAAAUAUAAGGUUCAUGACACUUAUAUAUUGACUGUGAAGCAAUAAAAAGUAGGAAACAAGUACUGACACACUGGAAAAUGUAAAGCUGCUUUGAAUAUAUUAUAGAUGAUUCUUAUAGUUCUAAUGCUUUUAUGUGGGAAAAGUUAUUAAAAUAAGUAUAGUGUUAUAUAUUUUGAGGUUAAAAUUUUGUAGACACUGAAGAUUUUAACUUCAACAAAUUUUUUUUUUUUUUUUUGCUUUUGCAUUUGAAGACCCUAGUCUACUUUAGUUAUUUAGCAUAUAGUGGUUUUGGGAAAUAGGUUGUUGGAUACCUAAAGUGGUCUUGUUCUAUCAGAAAAUUCAUUUUGAAGUUAAUUCUCUCAGGAUGCAAAGUCCAAAGAUGUAGAAUUUGUGUAACUUUAUAACUUUAAUAGCCCUGAGAGAUGUUCUGGACUGAUUUUCCAAUGUACUGGCCUUUAGUGACUUUUCUAACCCAAUAAUAGUUUCAUAAAGCAAAGAUAUAUUAAUUCAUUUUGGUAGUUUGUCCUCCUUGCUUUUGUGCUUCCAACAUACUCUUCCAUUUAUGAAAUAAUUAUAAUUCUUAAAAAAAUCAUUAUAUUCUGUGAUGAUAUUUUGGGGGCCCUACAGGAGAGGAUGAGAGUAUUAGUUGGGCAGGGCUUGAGGCUCUGAUUUCAUCUUUGAGGCAGUCCCCUCUUCCCCUUUUUUGGCCUCUGUGUAUUGAGAUUUUGUUUGUAUAAACAAAAUUUACUUAAAUGUAUACAUGGGUCCUUACUAUUUCAAAAGUGCCCAAGUAGAGCAAACGUGGUUGAAUGAUUACUUUCUCAAUGGCACUGUUUUCUUUUGUGGCAGAACACGUGCAUGCACCUUGGUUCCCUGAAUAUUUGUUUCCUGUUAGUGUUAAUUGCCCUAAGUUUUGUAUUUCUUCCCCCUCCUCUGCCCACUACAGAAACAAAUGGCAUAGGCUACUUAUGGAAAAUUACAAACAGUCAAUACACUGAGUAAGAACAGUGUUAUAGGCUGAGGAUGUACCAUUCUGGGCUUUUUCCCAUCUUGUGAUAAAUGAAGGGUGUAUAGUGCAUGAUCACUUCUGAUUGCAUUUUUAUUUGUAUGAUCCUGUGUAAUCUUGACCUGAGCUAUGUAAUGGAGGGUAUGAAUUAACACAGUUCUUAGUAUAGGUCAUCAGCCUGUGAACAUUGGAGGGUAAGUGCUUUUUCCCCUCACAUCUUAUCUGUUAAAUGAUCUCAUUAUAAAGCAACAAAUAAGACAUGAAUAAUUGUUGGUAGUAGUCAUUGCCAAAUGAUUAUAAGUCUUGCAUUUAUUCAUUUUUGGUAGUGCUUUAUUAUAAAACCAGUUUAAGAUUUCCUUUUUCAUUUUGGGAGGUAAAAAAGCCUCAUUGCAGUACAGUAACUCAUUUAAUAGUGCCCUAAAUGAGUCCUUUGGUUUCUCCAAGUUAAUUGCUCAAAUAAUACCUUGUUUUAGUGCUAUAGUAAGAUCCAUUUUAAUAUCCUUCUACUGUUUCAAUAAGUGACAGUCUUAUAAAGGCCUUCCCCUUAAUAACUAUUUAAUAAGGUGGUUAUGAGUCUGGCACCUUAGACCGCUUGGCCAUCCUGACACACUAUAUAAGUUAGCUAUGAAAACCCACAUAAGUUUAGCUUUUGUUGAGAUUCUAGUGUUGGUGUGGUUUGCCUAGGGAUUAAUAUUAGGCUGUUCUUCCCUUUGGUGAUAAUUUAGAAAGAAGUAGAUUGCUGUGCUUGGACUUUUAACCUUUUUAUCCUGGCGUAUUUAAGAGGUGUUUUCAGUGUUUUGUUGUUGUUGUUGUUUUGUUUUGUUUUUCCUUGGAGAAUUGUUCAUCUCUAUUCAUGACAAUUAGUACAUAAGUACAGGAGAGGGAAGAGUGUAGUCAUGAUGUCAUCCUCAUGAUGAAUACUUGCUGUUUUUUAAGACUCUGCUCAAAGAUCAUCUCUUUAGGGAUAGGUUUUAGGAAGGUUUUUCUGACUAUCUCAGAUACUAGAAACUCCUGCUUUUGAAACCUUUAAAGUUUACAGCUCUUAGUUGGAUACUGUCUAUCCUAGACUCAGCUCUAGAUCUUUUUCCUAUCACCACAGUGCUUACCUCAUAAUUAGCACUUACUUGUAUCAAUGGCUGCCUGGCUGAAUAAAUCAGUGAGGAUUCUAGAGCACAAAUACAAAAUGUGUAAAUUUUUUAUUGAAGGAAAACACAUAAAGCUCACAGUUUUCACUGUCUUUAAGAAUACUGUUCAGCUGCAUUACAUAUAUUCACAUUGCUGUACAACUAAGAUCACUAUCACCACUAUCCACUUCUACCACCCUCUCAUCACCUCAAACUGAAACACUAUACCCAUUAAACAGUAACUUCCCCUUCCCUCCUCCCUCUAGAGCCUGUACUUUUUACAGAAAAACUUACAUUCCAAAUUAUUAUUUAGCAGACAAGAAACUGAAGAGCUUUGAUGAACAGAUGAUUCUAUGUCUUGCAGUUAAAUAGCAGCAAAAUUGGUUUAGAACCCACAUUUCUUGGUAGUUAUGUGUAUGAUUUUCAUCCUACUGUCUAUGUUCUUUAGAAAGAUGUAGAAAAUACCAAAUACCAAAGGGCACUGUGCGUUGCUUUAGGGCUUUGCUAAAUUUAUUUUAUUUAUGAGAUCAUAAAUAAAAGCACAAUAAAAAGUUACUAAUACCAUAUUAUUGGUAGUACUGUAGCAAUCUCAGCACUCACAAAUUAUAACCCAAGUUUCUAUAGCAUCAGAAUUUUUUUUUUAAACUUUUAUUUAAUGCAUAUAAAUUUCCAAAGUACGACUUAUGGAUUACAAUGGCUUUCCCCCCAUACCGUCCCUCCCACCCACAACCCUCCCCUUUCCCACUCCCUCUCCCCUUCCAUUCACAUCAAGAUUCAUUUUCGAUUAUCUUAAUAUACAGAAGAUCAGCUUAGUAUACAUUAAGUAUGGAUUUCAACAGUUUGCUCCCACACAGAAACAUAAAGUGAAAAAUAAUAGAUGAUUUUUUAAAAUGAUGAUGAAAUCAGAGCAGACCUAUUGUCAUGUUUAAUCCCAGUGAGAGUCAAGUUGGGAAUUGAUAAAUUGAUAAUUUCUUUUUUUUUUUUUUUAUAGAGGAUCAGUUUAGUAUGCAUUAAGUAAGGAUUUCAACAGUUUGCACCCCCAUAGAAACACAAAGUGAAAUAUAUUGUUUGAGUACUCGUUAUAGCAUUAAAUCUCAAUGUACAGCACAUUAAGGAUAGAGAUCCUACAUGAGGAGUAAGUGCACAGUGACUCCUGUUGUUGACUUUACCAAUUGACACUCCUGUCUAUGGCAUCAGUAAUCUCCCUAUGCUCCAGUCAUGAGUUUCCAAGGCUAUGGAAGCCCUCUGAGUUCUCCGAUUCUUAUCUUGUUUAGACAAGGUCAUAGUCAAAGUGGAGGUUCUCUCCUCCCUUCAGAGAAAGGUACCUCCUUCUUUGAUGGCCUGUUCUUUCCACUGGGAUCUCACUCGCAGAGAUCUUUUUGCCAGAGUGCCUUGGCUUUCCAUGCCUGAAAUACUCUCAUGGGCUUUUCAGCCAGAUCCGAAUGCCUUUAGGGCUGAUUCUGAGGCCAGAGUGCUAUUUAGGACAUCUGCCAUUCUAUGAGUCUGCUGAGAUUCUCACUUCCCAUGUUGGAUCACUCUCCCCUUUAUUUACUCCAUCAGUUAGCGUUAGCAGGUACUAGACUUGUCUAUGUGCUCCCUUUGACUCCCAGUCCCUUCACCAUGACCAACUGUGAACUGAAACUGAUCACCUGGAACAGUGAGAUGGCAUUGGUACAUGCCACCUCGAUGGGAUUGAAUUGGAAUCCCCUGGUGUGCUUCCAACUCCACCACUUGGGGCAAGUCAGCCUGAGCAUGUCCCAAAUUAUACAUCUCUUCCCUCUCCCAUUCCCACCACCAUGUUCAACAGGGAUCACAUUUCAGUUAAUUUUCAACACUUAAGAAUAACUGUGCAUCAAUUACAGAUCUAAA
This is a non-coding RNA of Oryctolagus cuniculus (rabbit), 8302 nucleotides long. NCBI's taxonomy places the organism in Eukaryota, Metazoa, Chordata, Mammalia, Lagomorpha, Leporidae. The record is from RefSeq and is a predicted model, not a curated record.